AGAGUUUGAUCCUGGCUCAGACGAACGCUGGCGGCGCGUCUUAACCAUGCAAGUCGAGCGGCAGGCAGCAAUGCCGAGAGCGGCGGACUGGUGAGUAACACGUGGAUAACGUACCCCGAUGCCCGGGACAGCCUGUAGAAAUAGAGGGUGAUACCGGAUAGAUCACUGUAUACGGAAGGUAGACAGCGGGAAAGGAGCUUCGGCUCCGCGCCGGGAACGGUCUGCGGCCCAUCAGCUGGACGGCGGGGUAACGGCCCGCCGUGGCGAGGACGGGUAUCCGGCCUGAGAGGGCGGACGGACACAUUGGGACUGAGAUACGGCCCAGACUCCUACGGGAGGCAGCAGGUAAGAAUAUUCCGCAAUGGGGGAACCCUGACGGAGCGACGCCGCGUGAACGAAGAAGGCCGGAAGGUUGUAAAGUUCUUUUCUGUCCGAGGAAUAAGUGUAGGAGGAAAUGCCUGCAUGGUGACGGUAGGGCAGGAAUAAGCACCGGCUAAUUACGUG
Molecule: ribosomal RNA, 504 nt
Filed under: uncultured Treponema sp.
Lineage: Bacteria; Pseudomonadati; Spirochaetota; Spirochaetia; Treponematales; Treponemataceae
Description: bacterial SSU rRNA
Rfam family: Bacterial small subunit ribosomal RNA
Source: RNAcentral